RNAcentral lists this ribosomal RNA (480 nucleotides) under uncultured bacterium. RNAcentral's name for it is "partial 16S ribosomal RNA". It matches the Rfam family "Bacterial small subunit ribosomal RNA", at positions 28 to 507 of the family's 1533-position model. The record is from RNAcentral.
GACGAACGCUGGCGGCGCGCCUAGCACAUGCAAGUCGAGCGAUGAAAUUUUAACCGAUCUCUUCGGAGAGAAGAUAAAAUGGAUUAGCGGCGGACGGGUGAGUAACACGUGAGAAACCUGCCUUUCACAAGGGGAUAGCCUCGGGAAACCGGGAUUAAUACCCUAUGACACAUUUCCUUCGCAUGGAAGAAAUGUUAAAACUCCGGUGGUGAAAGAUGGUCUCGCGCCUGAUUAGCUAGUUGGUGGGGUAACGGCCCACCAAGGCCAUGAUCAGUAACCGGCCUGAGAGGGUGAACGGUCACAUUGGAACUGAGACACGGUCCAAACUCCUACGGGAGGCAGCAGUGGGGAAUAUUGCACAAUGGAGGAAACUCUGAUGCAGCGACGCCGCGUGAGCGAUGAAGGCUUUCGAGUCGUAAAGCUCUGUCCUAUGGGAAGAUAAUGACGGUACCAUAGGAGGAAGCCCCGGCUAACUACGUG